GACGAACGCUGGCGGCGUGCUUAACACAUGCAAGUCGAACGGAAAGGCCCUGCUUUUGUGGGGUGCUCGAGUGGCGAACGGGUGAGUAACACGUGAGUAACCUGCCCUUGACUUUGGGAUAACUUCAGGAAACUGGGGCUAAUACCGGAUAGGAGCUCCUGCUGCAUGGUGGGGGUUGGAAAGUUUCGGCGGUUGGGGAUGGACUCGCGGCUUAUCAGCUUGUUGGUGGGGUAGUGGCUUACCAAGGCAUUGACGGGUAGCCGGCCUGUGAGGGUGACCGGGCACAUUGGGACUGAGAUACGGAGCAGACGCCUACGGGAGGCAGCAGUGGGGAGUAUUGCACAGUGGGCGGAAGCCUGAUGCAGCAACGCCGCGUGCGGGAUGACGGCCUUCGGGUUGUGAACCGCUUUCGGCUGUGACGAAGCGUGAGUGACGGUAAUGGGUGAAGAAGCACCGGCUAACUACGUG
Molecule: ribosomal RNA, 468 nt
Filed under: uncultured bacterium
Lineage: Bacteria
Description: partial 16S ribosomal RNA
Rfam family: Bacterial small subunit ribosomal RNA
Source: RNAcentral